This 847-nucleotide ribosomal RNA is filed under the name Massarina phragmiticola. RNAcentral describes it as "eukaryotic LSU rRNA". It matches the Rfam family "Eukaryotic large subunit ribosomal RNA", at positions 74 to 935 of the family's 3401-position model. Lineage: Eukaryota; Fungi; Ascomycota; Dothideomycetes; Pleosporales; Massarinaceae. The record is from RNAcentral.
AUUGCCCUAGUAACGGCGAGUGAAGCGGCAACAGCUCAAAUUUGAAAUCUGGCCUUCUUUGGGGGUCCGAGUUGUAAUUUGCAGAGGGUGCUUUGGUGUUGACAGCGGUCUAAGUUCCUUGGAACAGGACGUCACAGAGGGUGAGAAUCCCGUACGUGGUCGCUUGCCUCCGCCGUGUAAAGCCCCUUCGACGAGUCGAGUUGUUUGGGAAUGCAGCUCUAAAUGGGAGGUAAAUUUCUUCUAAAGCUAAAUACUGGCCAGAGACCGAUAGCGCACAAGUAGAGUGAUCGAAAGAUGAAAAGCACUUUGGAAAGAGAGUCAAACAGCACGUGAAAUUGUUGAAAGGGAAGCGCUUGCAGCCAGACUUGCCCGUAGUUGCUCACCCGGACUUUUGCCCGGGGCACUCUUCUGCGGGCAGGCCAGCAUCAGUUUGGGCGACCGGAUAACGGCCUCUGUCAUGUAUCUUCCUUCGGGAUGACCUUAUAGGGGAGGCGUAAUGCGGCCAGCCCGGACUGAGGUCCGCGCUUCGGCUAGGAUGCUGGCGUAAUGGCUGUAAGCGGCCCGUCUUGAAACACGGACCAAGGAGUCUAACAUCUAUGCGAGUGUUUGGGUGUCAAGCCCGGGCGCGUAAUGAAAGUGAACGGAGGUGGGAACCCUUUCGGGGGUGCACCAUCGACCGAUCCUGAUGUCUUCGGAUGGAUUUGAGUAAGAGCAUAGCUGUUGGGACCCGAAAGAUGGUGAACUAUGCUUGAAUAGGGUGAAGCCAGAGGAAACUCUGGUGGAGGCUCGCAGCGGUUCUGACGUGCAAAUCGAUCGUCAAAUUUGGGCAUAGGGGCGAAAGACUAAU